Papaver somniferum (opium poppy) is the source of this 2252-nucleotide long non-coding RNA. RefSeq lists it as uncharacterized. The record is from RefSeq and is a predicted model, not a curated record. NCBI's taxonomy places the organism in Eukaryota, Viridiplantae, Streptophyta, Magnoliopsida, Ranunculales, Papaveraceae. The transcript is spliced from 12 exons.
UAGGCAGUCACCCCCCACCACUCUCCUUAUUCUUCAUCUCUAUUAUUUCUCUCUUCUCUCUCGGAACAAGAAAGAGAAAUUAUUUUGUUCUGUGAACCUUCUUCAUCUCUCUAUUACUCCUUAUUUACCAAAACUAAUCGACCUGCCUUAUCGCUUUAUUCUGCUGCUACAAUCUAAAUCUGUUUGAAACAAAAAAACUUCUUCCCAGGAAACCCAAAACCCUUUUUCUUCAUAAUCAGAAAACCCGUUAUCUCCGUCAAAAAAAAAACGUUCUUUUUUAUCAUCACAAUCAGAAAACCCUAACUCUCCAUCGAAGAUCAAAAGGUAUGAACCUAAUUUUUCCAGUUUCAUACUUGUCAGACUAUUAUUCCUUAGUAACAGAAAUCAUUUGUGAAGAGUAAUAGAAAUCAGUGGAGAUGUUUCGGUUGGAUGUUAUUCUUCAAUUAAGAAUUGUUGAUUUGGGUUUGAUGUUGAAGUUGUUUCUUACAAGGGCAUCAGCUCUGGCUCAUAGAAGAGUUAAGGAAAGUCAUCUUAGUUCUGAUGCCAUCUUCAGACAGAGUCAUGCUGGUUUGUUCAAUCUCUGUAUUGGUGUACUGGUCGCAGUCAAAAUAAGUCUUAUUACUGAAAAUUUAAUGAAGCUUUACAUCACUAAGAGACUGACCACUUUUCAUGUGUUGCCUGCCUUUGUUUGCAGUUGCUUCUUAUAUGGUUGAAAAGAUAGCUCAAAAUAAGCUCGUUUUGGAACCAGAUUGAUUCAACUGCUGUAUCCGGUGUAACACUAAUGAUUUUUGCUAGUGUUGUGUGGUUUAAGUUGGUGUCAUAUGCACAUACAAAUUACGAUAUGAGGGCGCUUUCCAAGUCCAGCGACUAGGUGGCCCCUUACAGUAUUUUCUAUUCGCUGAUGGAAGAGCACCUGAGCCAAGUUGGUGUCGAUACAACUAACAACAAAUGGAACGAAACGCUUGUUUUGGGUGUGGUGGAUCCAAACGAUUCAUUAUCUCAUCCGGCAGGGGUCUUUGAUGUUCAAGUUAAUUCUGCUACGUGCUUAGCUUCUGAUCAUUUUGCCAACUUCUUGGUGAAAACAUGGGAAAAGCUUCUGAAUGCCUUUUGCACUGAAAGAUGGAACUUGAAUUAAUCUACAAAGUCUAAUCCAAUGUUAUGAGGACACCUAGCUGAUGAAGUUAUUCCCUGAAAUUGUUCGAAACAUCUGUGACCAGGACGUGCUUGCAGAAGAUAAGAUUCUUCAAUGAUUCCGCUAAGGAUUAAACCUCAAGGGAAGUGUUGCAGAGGGAAAAGACCUUGUGUUGUCGGUUACAUCUGUCAUGGGAAAGGAGCAGAUCUGUACUGUUAAGGACAUUUCUAUCCAAAUAGAAAAUGACCUUUAGACUUUAUUACUACAGUAUCUGUUUGUUACUUCAUAUGGGAGAAGAGGUGAACUAUAACUUGUAGUCCCCAAGCAAUAGAUGUGCUGAGGAAAACUAAUGUUCUUAUUACUCCAACAAAAGCUACUAGCACUGGAGGGGUAUGAAUAACUAUCCCAUGAGAUAUUGUCAUCUUCAGUUGGUGAAGAAUUUGUUACUAAGUUUGAGAAUUUACUAUGAUUAUUUGGUACUUGUCUACUAGGUUCAUAGAUCCAGCAUUCCUCGCUUACAUUUUCUUGUUAGAUACCCUUGGCCGGCAUCUCAUACUUUGAUCUAACAUCAUAAGGUGUUGUAUCUUUAUAAUACCUAUCUAUUUAUAAGUAGAGCUUGAUGAUAUUGAUGCAUCGCCUUUCUUGUGUUUCUGUUAUUUUUUUGUCGGUCUGUGAAGGCGAAAGUUUUCAAUUAGGUUCAAAGGUUUUGUAGCUGAUGGCGGUAUAUUACUACCUUCGGGACAAGCAGAGGGAGAUAAGUCUUGUUGGAAUCCUGCGCCGUGCUCAGGGCUGUGUUGUACUUGACAAAGAUGGGUUCACAGCAAAGAAACAAACACAUUUCUUUGAUAUUGUGAGGCGGCUCCAACGAAGAAGUUGAUUCAGCAGCUCAUUGUAAACUAGGGUAUUCAGACUUGCACUUGUCUUUAAGAAUUGUCUUUAAGAAACAUGUGAACCUAUCAGCUAAGACUUGUAUUGGUGCAAAUUCAGGAUUUUUUUUGUUUUUUUUUUCUGAUUUUGAAGCCAAGUGCAGGUUUCAUUUCAUUGAAAUUUUGCAAUUUGAACAUGUAUGAAUUGUACAAUGAAUACUGGUUCCUAAAUAAUUGUCAUUUAAAUUUAUGAA